GACGAACGCUGGCGGCGUGCUUAACACAUGCAAGUCGAACGGAAAGGCCCCUUUGGGGGUACUCGAGUGGCGAACGGUUGAGUAACACGUGAGUAACCUGCCCUGGACUUCGGGAUAACUUCAGGAAACUGGGGCUAAUACCGGAUAGGAAUCCUAGCUGCUAGGGGUGGGUUGGAAAGCUUUUGGGGUUUUGGAUGGAUUCGCGGCUUAUCAGCUUGUUGGCGGGGUAGUGGCUUACCAAGGCUUUGACGGGAAGGCGGCCUGAGAGGGAGACCGGCAACAGUGGGACUGAGAUACGGCCCCGACUCCUACGGGAGGCAGAAGGGGGGAAGAUUGCACAAGGGGCGGAGGCCGGAUGCAGAAACGCCGCGGGCGGGAGGACGGCCUUCGGGUUGUAGACCGCAUGCAGCAGGAGCGAAGCUUGUGGUGACGGUACCUGCAGAAGAAGCACCGGCUAACUACGUG
Molecule: ribosomal RNA, 465 nt
Filed under: uncultured bacterium
Lineage: Bacteria
Description: partial 16S ribosomal RNA
Rfam family: Bacterial small subunit ribosomal RNA
Source: RNAcentral